AGUCGUAACAAGGUUUCCGAUAGGUGAACCGGCCGGGGAGGGCAAUAUUUCAAUUAAGGUUCGGGGUUCCGGCCCAUUUCGAAGGAAUAACCUGCCAAAGGCCCCUUAGCCCACAGGGUUUUUAUGAAGGGUACCUUUUCGUUUCCUCGGCAGGCUCGCCUGCCAACGGGGACCCUUCAAAACGCUUUGUAAUACCUGUAAUCGUCUGAUAUAACAAGCAAAAAUCAAAA
Molecule: unclassified non-coding RNA, 230 nt
Filed under: plant metagenome
Description: partial contains small subunit ribosomal RNA and internal transcribed spacer 1
Source: RNAcentral